AAAAAACCCUUUACCCCGCCAAUAGGUGGCUUUAAAAAAUUAAAUCGGUGUUCGGAUUUUUGUGCAGGAUACUGUACGUACGGAGAGGUCCGUACCAGAAAACGGCACCAUUUCCAGGGUUUUCAUUGGCUCAGUGGGAUGGUCACGUGACCAUCCUUUCAAGCAACGCAGUGGUGGUUAGGCCCCUACCCCCGAAAUCUCAGCAGCCGCCGUCGCAUUUGAAGUUGUUGUGAUUUUCGUUUUUAAUGGUGGCCUGCUGUCAUUUAAAAUGAAUAAAUAUAUUACUUUUAGAAAAGGGCCGACCUCUCGUGAAGAGAACGAUGGAAUUUAUAGAUUCGGCUGGGAAACUAGUCGAUAAAGCUUUUUUGCUUUUUUAGAUAAACUGACACGAGAGUUUGGUACCUUCUCAAACAGGCAUAAUUUCAAUCUAAUUAAUUGAACUGAGAUUUUUUAACCAGAUUUGUUUACUAACAGGGAGCCCUCACUUUUUGCCGUAGCAAAACUGUUGGCAACUGGUCUUGUAAAUCUGAACAGGGUAGAAGUUCUUAAUGAUUUCUUUUUAAUAAUGAAAUAUAAAUUUUCCUUCUUAGUUAUUUACUUUACGCGUCAGGUAAAAGAAAACCAAUAGAUUACCAAUAAUUACAAAUUCCCAAACUAACAUUCGGAUGAACCUACAUAUAGAACUUGGUAUCCAAAAAAGGAAACGAUAAGAGAUACCGUGUUUUCUCAGAAUCAUCUCCAACUAUAUCCAAGUAUUCCUCGCAUGAAGCCCAUCUCACAGGGUCAUAGAAUAAUACAAAAGGCCAACAUGUUACAUGAGAAUUUGGCUCCAAAACGUUUGACCGCAACUGGCCGAAAUCGCACUUUCCUUGGUUGCUAUUGUAACCGUUAUUAUAUCGACGGGUGUAUAUUUUCGGUUUUGUCUUGUCAUCUCAUCGCCAGCGUUGAUAUCAUUGGAGGACGGAUAGGUUUAUUGUCCAGGAUUUGUUCAAGAUCCAUCAUAACGGCAGCCAACAAUCCCUUUUUGUUUUGUUUCUGGAGACAAAUUGCACUCUACAUUCAUAUCUGUAAAGGAACAUGGUGCACAUUAGACUACAAUUGUAUGAAUGUUAAUAAAUGCCAGACAUUACCAAUCAUUAAUUCUGUUGAUCCAAUUUUAAAGUAAUGCAUCAACUGAUCAGCUGCAUAAACAAAUAAAGCUCCUAAGAAAAAACCAGGAGCAACAGGAGCAAAGGCAUAUUCUCCUGAUUCUCCAUACAUUCCUGAGCUUUCUGCCAUUUCAAUGGCAGGAGCUAGAAGAGACCAGUAUGAGGCCGCAAGCAUUACACCUGCAGCAAAACCAAGGCUGCUGUCUAAAAAUUUCCUCUACACAGAAGAUUCAAAAAGUAUGUAUGAUGGAUGUUUCAGUGCUUUAGAUGUAUAUUAUUACCUGGGUUCCACUCAUGAGAAACACCAGAGCCGAGCCGGCUGCUGUUAGACCCCAUGUAAACAAAGUGCCAAAGAUUGCUUGGAUUUCGGGACUGUAGCCGGCAAUCAAGUUAGCGGAUAAAAAAGAAAUUCAGGAUCAUACGUCAAUCAUUUAAACUAGUUCACAGGAGCAGAAAAUUCUGCUCAGGAAAGGCAAUUCAACUAUCGCUAUCAGUUGAAGUAAACCAUUACCUUUAUCGUCUACAAGCGUCAACAAGAUUAGAAUUUUCCCUCUGACUCUAGUGGAUAUUAUGGCUACUAGAUGGCUUUUCGAAUGAAACUUCGCUUGUUACGGUAGCAACCGGCGUGCAAGCAAAGAGAAGCCCGGCUUUUGCAUGGAGAAAAUCAGUAACUUCAUGUUGUAUUGUUCGUACUAGCGUGCCAGUAGCUACGGUAUUGCUGGCACGCCAGCAGGUGAUUGAUUUUAGGCAGUCUUUGAUCAAAACUGCCAUCUGGUGUUUUGCUGUUUAAACCUUUUCGCCUGAUUUUUAUCACUUUAUAGUAAUCUGUUAAAAAUUACAAUCGAUAAAUUAUAGUCAAGGGUGAAUUGUAACGAUUCAGUCACGAUCAACUUUUGCCGAAAUGGGCUACCAAUAUUACCAAUCUUACCUGGUAUCCUAUACGUGAUACGUGUGCCUCAUACCAGUAGCUCUUGAAUUCACCACACGAAAAAGCUUGUCCAACAACCUGUAGAUCCGUUUACUCAGAAUUAAAUUUUUUUGCUAGUGUGAUGACAGUUCAUUAAAUUUUUGUAUCAACUUG
Molecule: long non-coding RNA, 2229 nt
Filed under: Daphnia magna
Lineage: Eukaryota; Metazoa; Arthropoda; Branchiopoda; Diplostraca; Daphniidae
Description: uncharacterized LOC123470520
Source: RNAcentral